RNAcentral lists this ribosomal RNA (253 nucleotides) under uncultured microorganism. RNAcentral's name for it is "partial 16S ribosomal RNA". It matches the Rfam family "Bacterial small subunit ribosomal RNA", at positions 524 to 776 of the family's 1533-position model. The record is from RNAcentral.
UACGUAGGGUGCGAGCGUUAAUCGGAUUUACUGGGCGUAAAGCGUGCGCAGGCGGCCCGUUAAGACAGGGGUGAAAUCCCUGGGCUCAACCUAGGAAUUGCGCUUGUGACUGGCGGGCUCGAGUACGGUAGAGGGAGGUGGAAUUCCUGGUGUAGCAGUGAAAUGCGUAGAGAUCAGGAGGAACACCGAUGGCGAAGGCAGCCCCCUGGGCCUGUACUGACGCUCAUGCACGAAAGCGUGGGGAGCAAACAGG